RNAcentral lists this transfer RNA (85 nucleotides) under Rhizobium sp. SEMIA 4085. Its description in RNAcentral is "tRNA-Leu". It matches the Rfam family "tRNA". Rfam says of the family: Transfer RNA (tRNA) molecules are approximately 80 nucleotides in length. Their secondary structure includes four short double-helical elements and three loops (D, anti-codon, and T loops). Lineage: Bacteria; Pseudomonadati; Pseudomonadota; Alphaproteobacteria; Hyphomicrobiales; Rhizobiaceae. The record is from RNAcentral.
GCGGAUGUGGCGGAAUUGGUAGACGCAAGGGAUUUAGGAUCCAUCGCCUGACAGCGUGGGGGUUCGAGUCCCUUCAUCCGCACCA